Molecule: non-coding RNA, 207 nt
Filed under: Paramoeba aestuarina
Lineage: Eukaryota; Discosea; Flabellinia; Dactylopodida; Paramoebidae
Source: RNAcentral
AACCUUGUAUGGUUUUGGUGGUUAAUUCCUCUCCCUUUUUCUCUUCUUCUUCUUCAUCCUUCCUUCUUCUUCCUGUUUUAUCCUUCGAAAUCUGUUUAUUAUGUUCCCUCAAAUGAUAAGAAAAGGCGAAAGAGAAGUUGCUUUCGUCUUUUUCUUUCCCCCCUAACUUUUGACAAAAACAAAAACAAAAGUAAAAUAUCUUCAAUU